This is a non-coding RNA of Paragonimus heterotremus, 81 nucleotides long. The record is from the annotation of a GenBank genome assembly. Lineage: Eukaryota; Metazoa; Platyhelminthes; Trematoda; Plagiorchiida; Troglotrematidae.
GGUUUCGUAGCUCAGCUGGUAGAGUGCUUACCGCUUUUGGGCAUGGUGUUUCUGUAGCUGGUUUGAAUCCAGCUGAAGUCU